CGGCGGACGGGUGAGUAAUGCCUAGGAAUCUGCCUGGUAGUGGGGGACAACGUUUCGAAAGGAACGCUAAUACCGCAUACGUCCUACGGGAGAAAGCAGAGGACCUUCGGGCCUUGCGCUAUCAGAUGAGCCUAGGUCGGAUUAGCUAGUUGGUGAGGUAAUGGCUCACCAAGGCGACGAUCCGUAACUGGUCUGAGAGGAUGAUCAGUCACACUGGAACUGAGACACGGUCCAGACUCCUACGGGAGGCAGCAGUU
This 257-nucleotide ribosomal RNA is filed under the name uncultured Pseudomonas sp. Its description in RNAcentral is "partial 16S ribosomal RNA". It matches the Rfam family "Bacterial small subunit ribosomal RNA", at positions 96 to 355 of the family's 1533-position model. The record is from RNAcentral. Lineage: Bacteria; Pseudomonadati; Pseudomonadota; Gammaproteobacteria; Pseudomonadales; Pseudomonadaceae.